GCUUGUCUCAAAGAUUAAGCCAUGCAUGUCUAAGUUUAAAUAGUAAACAGUGAAACUGCGAAUGGCUCAUUACAUCAGUUUUAACAUACAUGAUAGUCACUUCUACUUGGAUAACCGUAGUAAUUCUAGAGCUAAUACAUGCGUAAAGGUAGCCGCAAGGCCGCUGUGUUUAUUAGAUACAACCGACCUCCUUCUGGAGCCUUUUGUCGACUCAUAGUAACUUCUCGAAUCGGAGGCUUGCCUCCGAUAGUUCAUUCAAAUUUCUGCCCUAUCAGCUUUCGACGGUAGUGUAGUGGACUACCGUGGCGUUAACGGGUAACGGAGAAUUAGGGUUCGAUUCCGGAGAGGGAGCCUGAGAAACGGCUACCACAUCCAAGGAAGGCAGCAGG
RNAcentral lists this ribosomal RNA (389 nucleotides) under uncultured fungus. Its description in RNAcentral is "partial small subunit ribosomal RNA". It matches the Rfam family "Eukaryotic small subunit ribosomal RNA", at positions 30 to 432 of the family's 1831-position model. Lineage: Eukaryota; Fungi. The record is from RNAcentral.